Molecule: unclassified non-coding RNA, 389 nt
Filed under: Hevea brasiliensis (rubber tree)
Lineage: Eukaryota; Viridiplantae; Streptophyta; Magnoliopsida; Malpighiales; Euphorbiaceae
Source: RNAcentral
UUUUUUCUCCCCCAGCCGCAGUUGAGGAGUGCUUUACAACAAAUGAUGUCAUCUUCGCAAAUAGGCCACGCUUGCUUGCUGGAAAACACCUUAAUUACAACUACAAGACAAUAGGAUUGUCCUCCUAUGGCGAACAGUGGCGNNNNNNNNNNNNCUCGCAUCCUUAGAGCUUUUCUCUACAGCGCGUCUAGCCAUGUUUAGCAGUAUUAGGCAAGAGGAGGUCCUGUUAUUGCUCAAGCAAUUAUUCCAGGACUCGAAUGAAAAAGAGGUGAAAGUGAAGCUGUCAUCCAGGUUUGUGGAUCUUGCUUUUAAUGUCAUGAUGAGGAUGGUGGCAGGAAAACGGUAUUAUGGAAAGGAUGUAGUAGAUAAAGAAGCAAGUCAGUUUCGGG